UGGGGAAUAUUGCACAAUGGGCGAAAGCCUGAUGCAGCAACGCCGCGUGAGCGAUGAAGGCCUUCGGGUCGUAAAGCUCUGUCCUCAAGGAAGAAUUUUGACGGUACUUGAGGAGGAAGCCCCGGCUAACUACGUGCCAGCAGCCGCGGUAAUACGUAGGGGGCUAGCGUUAUCCGGAAUUACUGGGCGUAAAGGGUGCGUAGGUGGUCUGACAAGUCAGGGGUGAAAGGCUACGGCUCAACCGUAGUAAGCCCUUGAAACUGUCGGACUUGAGUGCAGGAGAGGAAAGUGGAAUUCCCAGUGUAGCGGUGAAAUGCGUAGAUAUUGGGAGGAACAUCAGUGGCGAAGGCGACUUUCUGGACUGUAACUGACACUGAGGCACGAAAGCGUGGGGAGCAAA
Molecule: ribosomal RNA, 400 nt
Filed under: uncultured bacterium
Lineage: Bacteria
Description: bacterial SSU rRNA
Rfam family: Bacterial small subunit ribosomal RNA
Source: RNAcentral